CCCCCCCCUCUUUGUCCAGCUGGGACACGGAAUGGCCACGGGCCUCCUCCCCCUCCCCUCCAGCCCCUCCACCAGCCCCUCCAGUCACCACUCAUCGCCGUGCCCCCCCAGAGCUAGAGAGAUGGGGCCCCUCCGUGGCCCAAGGGGCAGAGCUGGGCGUCACCUCCCAAGCAUCCUGCCCUGCCGGGGCGCGGGGAUGGGCUCUGGGGAAGCCGGUGCGCCCCCCACGCCUCCGCUGCCAGUGCCUUACAUUCUGGAGCGACCCCCCUCCCUGGUGCCUCCCAGCGAAGGGGGACUGCCCCGUUUGCACUUUCAUCGCCCCCCCAAGCGGGGCCCAGCCGGGGGACGUGCAUAACGGCUGGGCCCCCAGAGGAGAGAGGAGGCCGACGCCAGCGGUCCCCGCUCGGGACGGGGAGGGUUCUGGGGGGGUUCGGCGUCGCACCUCGGGGCCCCCUCGCGGCCGUGUAGGGGGCCUCCCAUCUGCUAAGCGUUUUUCCGUUGAGCCGCUCCAAAAACACUAA
Piliocolobus tephrosceles (Ugandan red Colobus) is the source of this 521-nucleotide RNA transcript. It is a transcript of the gene named myosin-K heavy chain-like, with no coding region annotated. The record is from RefSeq and is a predicted model, not a curated record. The transcript has a single exon. NCBI's taxonomy places the organism in Eukaryota, Metazoa, Chordata, Mammalia, Primates, Cercopithecidae.